UUUCCGUAGGUGAACCUGCGGAGGGAUCAUUACAGAGUUCAUGCCCUACCGGGUAGAUCUUCCACACUAUGUUGUUAGUACUUUGUUGCUUUUGCGGGCCGUUAGGCUUCGGGCAGGCUACCGGCUCCGGCUGGUAAGCGCCCGCCAGAGGAACUAAAACACGGAAUGUUAGUGUAGUCUGAGUACACUAUAAUAGUUAAAACUCUCAACAACGGAUCUCUUGGUUCUG
RNAcentral lists this unclassified non-coding RNA (229 nucleotides) under plant metagenome. RNAcentral describes it as "partial contains small subunit ribosomal RNA, internal transcribed spacer 1, and 5.8S ribosomal RNA". The record is from RNAcentral.